RNAcentral lists this ribosomal RNA (497 nucleotides) under uncultured bacterium. Its description in RNAcentral is "partial 16S ribosomal RNA". It matches the Rfam family "Bacterial small subunit ribosomal RNA", at positions 28 to 507 of the family's 1533-position model. The record is from RNAcentral.
GAUGAACGCUGGCGGCGUGCCUAACACAUGCAAGUCGAGCGAACAGACGAGGAGCUUGUGCCUUCGACGUUAGCGGCGGGCGGGCGAGUAACACGUAUAUCAGCUACUUCUAUUUCGGGGGUGAUUACGGGAGGCCGGAUACAAUAACGGAGAAUAUUUCGCACCGCAUGGUUCGAUGGAGAUUGUGGGCUUUGGUGACUGUAAUAGCUGCUGCUGGGCUGUAUUGGUUGGUGGGUAGGGUAACGCCUUACCAAGGCGACGAUACGUAGCCGAGCUGAGAGGAUGAUCGGCCACACUGGAACUGAGACACGGUCCAGACUCCUACGGGAGGCAGCAGUAGGGAAUGUUAGGCAAUGGGCGAAAGCCUGACGCAGCAACGCCGCGUGGGUGAUGAAGGCCUUCGGAUCGUAAAGCCCUUUUAUUGGGGAAGAACAGCCGUAGAAGGAAACGUAGACGUUUUGACGGUACCUAAUCAAAAAGCCACGGCUAACUACGUG